Molecule: ribosomal RNA, 584 nt
Filed under: uncultured bacterium
Lineage: Bacteria
Description: partial 16S ribosomal RNA
Rfam family: Bacterial small subunit ribosomal RNA
Source: RNAcentral
UGGGGAAUUUUGGACAAUGGGCGAAAGCCUGAUCCAGCAAUGCCGCGUGUGUGAAGAAGGCCUUCGGGUUGUAAAGCACUUUUGUCCGGAAAGAAAUCCUUGGCUCUAAUACAGUCGGGGGAUGACGGUACCGGAAGAAUAAGCACCGGCUAACUACGUGCCAGCAGCCGCGUAAUACGUAGGGUGCAAGCGUUAAUCGGAAUUACUGGGCGUAAAGCGUGCGCAGGCGGUUUGCUAAAGACCGAUGUGAAAUCCCCGGGCUCAACCUGGGAACUGCAUUGGUGACUGGCAGGCUAGAGUAUGGCAGAGGGGGGUAGAAUUCCACGUGUAGCAGUGAAAUGCGUAGAGAUGUGAGGAAUACCGAUGGCGAAGGCAGCCCCCUGGGCCAAUACUGACGCUCAUGCACGAAAGCGUGGGGAGCAAACAGGAUUAGAUACCCUGGUAGUCCACGCCCUAAACGAUGUCAACUAGUUGUUGGGGAUUCAUUUCCUUAGUAACGUAGCUAACGCGUGAAGUUGACCGCCUGGGGAGUACGGUCGCAAGAUUAAAACUUAAAUGAAUUGACGGGGUCAUAGCUGUUUCCU